ACUGAAGAAAAAUUGUGACAUUUUCCUUCCCCAGAAUUACUUCGUUUUAUACAUUUCACUUCUCUUCUGAAAUCACAGCAAUGCCAGUUUGCGCCUUUUGGUCUGAGGAACGCAGGCCCUGGCCACUACCAGGAAAAAAACCUUCUGGAUUUCAGCUUUGGCAAGCUUCCUCUGUUUCUGAGACACCUCCAUCACCUGGGUUACAAUCCCAUCCAUGAUUUUCCCCAUCUCCAGGCAUUUUUCAUGGAAAGCUCCUCAUGCUUUUUAAUUCCAGUUUAUCCAUUUGUGUGGCUUUAACCUCCACAUCCAGGUCUUUCUGGCUAAACUGCAGUAUAUCCACAAUGGGGCCAAUGGACACAUAAGGGAGGCCCUAUCACAGGAACACGAACACCCGGAGUCGCUAGAAAUCAGAUUCCACCGGCUUUGCUUCAGGCCGACUUCCUAAGGAAGGCAUGAUCCUUUGCACAUGGCCUGCUAUCAACAAUCCUCUACAAUGAUUCUCAGCAUCACCUAGGGAGCUUAUGUAAAAUCUCAAAUUCCUGGGCCCUAUCCCCAGAGUUUCUUAUCAAGUAAGUCUGCAUUGGGAUCUGAGGAUUUGCAUCUCUAACAAAAAUUCCUAGGCGAUGCUCACACUGUUGGUGUAAGGUUUCCUUGAUGGAGAACUAUCAAAGCAGUCAAAGCUAUCAAAAUAAAAAAGAAUUCUGAUUGGGUGCAGUGGCUCACACCUGUCAUUCCAGCACUUUGAGAGGCCAAGGUGGGCAGAUCACAUGAGGCCAGGAGUUCAAGACCAGCCUGGCCAACAUGGCAGAAACCCCAUCUCUACUAAAAAUACCAAAA
Molecule: long non-coding RNA, 837 nt
Filed under: Homo sapiens (human)
Lineage: Eukaryota; Metazoa; Chordata; Mammalia; Primates; Hominidae
Description: long intergenic non-protein coding RNA 667
Source: RNAcentral